This 462-nucleotide long non-coding RNA is filed under the name Capsicum annuum. RNAcentral describes it as "long non-coding RNA (CANN_LNC021703)". Lineage: Eukaryota; Viridiplantae; Streptophyta; Magnoliopsida; Solanales; Solanaceae. The record is from RNAcentral.
UUCUUUGUUUUCUUUAUUAUUGAUAGGAUUUCUCUUGUUAAGACCUUAUGAAUCGAUUAAAACCUCAGAUUCAUACUAGAACCACGAUGAUUCAAUAAAAAAAACCUAACCUAAAUCAAAUCAAGGAUUCUCUGAGUAAGAAUCCUCGGAUCAUCACUUAUUCCCUGAAUAAAUAGAAUGACUAAAAAUUCAAAGAAAGGUUUUGCUUUUGGUCAAAAUAUAAAUUAGGGGUUGAAAGAAAAGAAUCUUUCGAUUUAGAAAUUCGAAUUCUUUGUUUGAAAAUUUUUUGGAGCCCGGACACGGGGUCUGAAUAUUAAGUAUGAAUCAUAGUUCAAAUAUUUCUUAAUCUAUUUCGUGUUCCAAAUAUUAGAAUAAAUAUCUGACGAAGUAGAAUCAUCUCUAUCAAGAUGACAAACUCAUUCUCUGUACUAUCAAUAGGAUCAAUUAUAACAAGUCACACAC